CCAAUAGCGUAUAUUAAAGUUGUUGCAGUUAGAAAGCUCGUAGUUGAACCUUAGGCCCGUGCGGGCGGUCCGUCCUCAGGGCGAGCACUGCCUCGUCGCGGGUCUCACCUUUCUGGCGAGCGUGGAUGCCAUUCAUUUGGUGUCUGCGGGAACCAGGACCUUUACCUUGAAAAAAUUAGAGUGCUCAAGGCGGGCUCUUACGCUUGAAUACAUUAGCAUGGAAUAAUGAAAUAGGACGACGGUUCUAUUUUGUUGGUUUCCGGGACCGUCGUAAUGAUUAAUAGGGAUAGUUGGGGGCAUUCGUAUUCAAUUGUCAGAGGUGAAAUUCUUGGAUUUAUUGAAGACGGACUACUGCGAAAGCAUUUGCCAAGGAUGUUUUCAUUAAUCAAGAACGAAAGUUGGGGGAUCGAAGACGAUCAGAUACCGUCGUAGUCUCAACCAUAAACUAUGCCGACUGGGAAUCGGGCGAUGUUAUUUUUCGUGACUCGCUCGGCGCCCCGAG
Molecule: ribosomal RNA, 502 nt
Filed under: uncultured Glomeromycotina
Lineage: Eukaryota; Fungi; Glomeromycota
Description: partial small subunit ribosomal RNA
Rfam family: Eukaryotic small subunit ribosomal RNA
Source: RNAcentral